UACGUAGGGGGCAAGCGUUGUCCGGAAUCAUUGGGCGUAAAGAGCGUGUAGGCGGUUCGGUAAGUCGGCUGUGAAAGUCCAGGGCUCAACCCUGGAAUGCCGGUGGAUACUGUCGGGCUCGAGUCCGGAAGAGGCGAGUGGAAUUCCUGGUGUAGCGGUGAAAUGCGCAGAUAUCAGGAGGAACACCGAUGGCGAAGGCAGCUCGCUGGGACGGUACUGACGCUGAGACGCGAAAGCGUGGGGAGCAAACAGG
RNAcentral lists this ribosomal RNA (253 nucleotides) under uncultured bacterium. Its description in RNAcentral is "partial 16S ribosomal RNA". It matches the Rfam family "Bacterial small subunit ribosomal RNA", at positions 524 to 776 of the family's 1533-position model. The record is from RNAcentral.